This 323-nucleotide ribosomal RNA is filed under the name uncultured eukaryote. RNAcentral's name for it is "partial 18S ribosomal RNA". It matches the Rfam family "Eukaryotic small subunit ribosomal RNA", at positions 1470 to 1796 of the family's 1831-position model. The record is from RNAcentral.
CCCUUAGAUGUUCUGGGCUGCACGCGUGCUUCACUGAUAUUGCCAAUAUGUCAUUCUUAUCCGAAAUGGAUUGGGUAAUCAAGUAAUGAAAUUUCAUGCUUGGAAUCGGUAAUUGCAAUUUUAUCGUGAACGAGGAAUUCCUAGUAAGCACUAGUCAUCAGCUAAUGUUGAUUAUGUCCCUGCCCUUUGUACACACCGCCCGUCGCUACUACUGAUUGGGUGUUCAAGUGAGAUGCUUAGACCCUUGUUGCAUGGUUCAUUAUUGUGCUCCGAAAGGAAAAAGUUUCAAGCUUGAGUGUCUAGAGGAAGUAAAAGUCGUAACA